GAGUCUGCGUCCCAUUAGCUUGUUGGCGGGGUAACGGCCCACCAAGGCAACGAUGGGUAGCCGAUUUGAGAGGAUGAUCGGCCACACUGGAACUGAAACACGGUCCAGACUCCUACGGGAGGCAGCAGUGGGGAAUAUUGCGCAAUGGGCGAAAGCCUGACGCAGCGACACCGCGUGAGGGAUGAAGGUUUUCGGAUCGUAAACCUCUGUCAGAAGGGAAGAAACUACGUUGUGCUAAUCAGCAGCGUACUGACGGUACCUUCAAAGGAAGCACCGGCUAACUCCGUGCCAGCAGCCGCGGUAAUACGGAGGGUGCAAGCGUUAAUCGGAAUUACUGGGCGUAAAGCGCACGUAGGCUGUAGUGUAAGUCAGGGGUGAAAUCCCACGGCUCAACCGUGGAACUGCCUUUGAUACUGCACAACUUGAAUCCGGGAGAGGGUGGCGGAAUUCCAGGUGUAGGAGUGAAAUCCGUAGAUAUCUGGAGGAACAUCAGUGGCGAAGGCGGCCACCUGGACCGGUAUUGACGCUGA
Molecule: ribosomal RNA, 530 nt
Filed under: uncultured delta proteobacterium
Lineage: Bacteria; Deltaproteobacteria
Description: bacterial SSU rRNA
Rfam family: Bacterial small subunit ribosomal RNA
Source: RNAcentral